Molecule: unclassified non-coding RNA, 258 nt
Filed under: Typhula sp.
Lineage: Eukaryota; Fungi; Basidiomycota; Agaricomycetes; Agaricales; Typhulaceae
Description: partial contains 5.8S ribosomal RNA, internal transcribed spacer 2, and large subunit ribosomal RNA
Rfam family: 5.8S ribosomal RNA (bases 1-52)
Source: RNAcentral
AACGCACAUUGCGCCCCCUGGUAUUCCGGGGGGCAUGCCUGUCCGAGCGUCAUUGCUGCCCAUCAAGCGCGGCUUGUGUGUUGGGCCACCGUCCCCCCUCGGGGGGACGGGCCCGAAAGGCAGCGGCGGCACCGCGUCCGGUCCUCGAGCGUAUGGGGCUCUGUCACCCGCUCUGGAGGCCUGGCCGGCGCCUGCCGACCCCAACCUUUUUUUAACCAGGUUGACCUCGGAUCAGGUAGGGAUACCCGCUGAACUUAA